UGCUCACUUCAGCAGCACCGUAGUGAAAAUGGAGUGAGCAGAGAAGACUAGCAUGGCCCUAUGUAAGGAUGGCAUGCAAACCCAGGGAGUGUUCCAUAUUUUC
Psammomys obesus (fat sand rat) is the source of this 103-nucleotide small nuclear RNA. The record is from RefSeq and is a predicted model, not a curated record. Lineage: Eukaryota; Metazoa; Chordata; Mammalia; Rodentia; Muridae.